GCGAUUCUAAACAGGAAGCUACACUGGACGCGAGAAUUGGGGUGGGGUGCGCCAAGAGAAGCAAGCAUUCUAGAACUUGGGGAGCAUGAGAAAUACACGGAGGUGGAAACGCCGGAGUGGCUGGCGGCGGCUGGGCCAGCUGAAGGUGACCAUGGCACACGAGGGAGAGAGAAGCCCGCGAGAGGCGGAGAAUUGUGGGGUCGUCCAGGAGGGUCGACAAGGCAAAGAACCUGAAGAUCACCCAAAAAGGCUCACCUACAAUGUCUUGUAAAGCUUCUGAAAUUUUGCCAGUCUGAAAAUGGAGUCUCGCUCUGUCACCAGGCUGGGGUGCAAUGGCACAAUCUCGGCUCACUGCAACCUCCACCUCCCGGGUUCAAGGGAUUCUCCUGCCUCAGCCUCCAGAGUAGCUGGGACAACAGGUGUGCACCACCACACCUGGCUAAUUUUUUUUUUCUUUAGUGUUUUAGUAGAGAUGGGGUUUCACUAUGUUGGCCAGGAUGGUCUCCAUCUCCUGACCUCAUGAUCUACCCGCCUCGGCCUCCAAAAGUUCUGAGAUUACAGGCAUAAGCCACUGCUCCCAGCCUUUUCUUGAGAUGGAGUUUCACUCUUGUUGCCCAGGCUGGAGUGCAGUGGCAUGCGAUCUCGACUCACUGCAACCUCUGCCUCCUGAGCUCAAGCAAUUCUCCUGCCUCAGCCUCCCAGGUAGCUGAAAUUAUAGGCGCCUGCCACCAUGCCUGGCUAGUUUUUGUAUUUUUAGUAGAGACGGGGUUUCACCAUGUUGGUCAGGUUGGUCUUGAACUCCCGACCUCAGGUGAUCUGCCUGCCUCAGCCUCCCAAAGUGCUGGGAUUACAGGCAUGAGCCACUGCAGCCAGCCUAAUAUGC
Molecule: long non-coding RNA, 883 nt
Organism: Symphalangus syndactylus (siamang)
Lineage: Eukaryota; Metazoa; Chordata; Mammalia; Primates; Hylobatidae
Source: RefSeq, a predicted model, not a curated record